AUUGAACGCUGGCGGCAGGCCUAACACAUGCAAGUCGAGCGGAUGAAGGGAGCUUGCUCCUGGAUUCAGCGGCGGACGGGUGAGUAAUGCCUAGGAAUCUGCCUGGUAGUGGGGGAUAACGUCCGGAAACGGGCGCUAAUACCGCAUACGUCCUGAGGGAGAAAGUGGGGGAUCUUCGGACCUCACGCUAUCAGAUGAGCCUAGGUCGGAUUAGCUAGUUGGUGGGGUAAAGGCCUACCAAGGCGACGAUCCGUAACUGGUCUGAGAGGAUGAUCAGUCACACUGGGACUGAGACACGGUCCAGACUCCUACGGGAGGCAGCAGGGGGGAAUAUUGGACAAUGGGCGAAAGCCUGAUCCAGCCAUGCCGCGUGUGUGAAGAAGGUCUUCGGAUUGUAAAGCACUUUAAGUUGGGAGGAAGGGCAGUAAGUUAAUACCUUGCUGUUUUGACGUUACCAACAGAAUAAGCACCGGCUAACUUCGU
This 483-nucleotide ribosomal RNA is filed under the name uncultured bacterium. RNAcentral's name for it is "partial 16S ribosomal RNA". It matches the Rfam family "Bacterial small subunit ribosomal RNA", at positions 30 to 506 of the family's 1533-position model. The record is from RNAcentral.